UGCCCUUCUCUCCUCCUGCCU
This 21-nucleotide microRNA is filed under the name Homo sapiens (human). RNAcentral describes it as "hsa-miR-6886-3p". Lineage: Eukaryota; Metazoa; Chordata; Mammalia; Primates; Hominidae. The record is from miRBase by way of RNAcentral.